Homarus americanus (American lobster) is the source of this 1114-nucleotide long non-coding RNA. RefSeq lists it as uncharacterized. The record is from RefSeq and is a predicted model, not a curated record. NCBI's taxonomy places the organism in Eukaryota, Metazoa, Arthropoda, Malacostraca, Decapoda, Nephropidae. The transcript is spliced from 2 exons.
ACACCAGACUGACCGAGCGGUUAGUCACCACAGUACACCCGAGAGAGUAUACUAAAUAUUCCGAAACUAUUCUAUACAACUCGUUUUAUUCAGACUUAUUUGUGUAGUUUCCGAGACCAGCAUUACCACCAAAAAGAUUUGUUCAGUUUUCCACAGAUGUUUUUAUCAUUACAUUAAGUAUUUUAAGAGCUCCCUUUAAUAACAACACCUGAGCCUCACCUGAAGGAACAAUAACAACUCCACAGGUUUGGUGCAGACUGUGAGGGGUAGCCGUCCUACAAUAUGUGCUUACCAUGUUUUAUGUUAUAUUUAGUAUAAGUCAGAUUGUCAUAGCUUUGUAGAGCUGACUAGAGUGGUCUUUCCAUCAGCAAUUAUUCUUGUAAGGAUGGAGUCACAAAAAACUAAAAACCUGUACAAAUGCACGAAAUGUGGAGAUGAAUUCUAUAAAAUGGUGAAUCUUACUCGACACAUGUGGACACACCCAAAUGAUAGACCUUUUAAGUGUGAUCAUUGUGAAGAAUCAUUUGAGUGGAGAUCGCAUCUUUCUCAUCACAUGAAACUGCACAAAGAAUAUAAACCUCAUAAGUGUAAAGAGUGUGGCAAAGGAUUUACUUCUAGUUCACACAGGGUAACACACACAAGGAUACACACACAAGGGUCUGACGGACCUUUGACGUGUGAAGUGUGUGGGGUCAAGUUUAAUAUGAAAGUUUAUCUUGUGCUUCAUAUGAUGGAACAUUCUGAUAAGAAAUCUAAAAAGUGUCUUACAUGUGAAAAACCUUUUCUUUGUCCAGAAUGUGGAAGGAUGUUUCAUUAUAAGGCUGUGUUAAAGGAACACAUGAAAGUUUAUGGUGUUAAGAAGGCUUGUAGGUGUAGUCUUCCCUGCUACAAGUGUUUGGACGUGAAAACUAAAACUGGAAGUGACACCGAGUUGUGGGUGAUGGAUGGUAUCUCUCUUAAAGAAGAAAAUGAUAUAGAUAUUAAAGAAGAACUACUCUGAUAUUUUAAAACAACAAUACUGUAUAAGGUUAGUCUUUUAUUUUUAAGGCAAGUUUAUACUGUAGUUGGUAUUUCCUGUCGUGUAAUAGUUAUGAAUAAAUUAUCUUGAAGAUGA